UCUAGUAUGGCAGAUUAGUGCAUUGAAUUUAAGCUUCAAAAAUAAAGUUAUCUUUUUCUAGAA
This 63-nucleotide transfer RNA is filed under the name Acantholachesilla sp. AcspLA. Its description in RNAcentral is "tRNA-Leu". The record is from RNAcentral. Lineage: Eukaryota; Metazoa; Arthropoda; Insecta; Psocodea; Lachesillidae.